RNAcentral lists this ribosomal RNA (545 nucleotides) under uncultured bacterium. RNAcentral describes it as "bacterial SSU rRNA". It matches the Rfam family "Bacterial small subunit ribosomal RNA", at positions 358 to 917 of the family's 1533-position model. The record is from RNAcentral.
GGAAUUUUCCGCAAUGGGCGAAAGCCUGACGGAGCAACGCCGCGUGAGGGAUGAAGGCCUCUGGGCUGUAAACCUCUUUUAUCAAGGAAGAAGAUCUGACGGUACUUGAUGAAUAAGCCACGGCUAAUUCCGUGCCAGCAGCCGCGGUAAUACGGGAGUGGCAAGCGUUAUCCGGAAUUAUUGGGCGUAAAGCGUCCGCAGGCGGUCUUUUAAGUCUGUCGUCAAAGCGUGGAGCUUAACUCCAUUACUGCGAUGGAAACUGGGAGACUAGAGUGUGGUAGGGGCAGAGGGAAUUCCCGGUGUAGCGGUGAAAUGCGUAGAUAUCGGGAAGAACACCAGUGGCGAAGGCGCUCUGCUGGGCCAUAACUGACGCUCAUGGACGAAAGCCAGGGGAGCGAAAGGGAUUAGAUACCCCUGUAGUCCUGGCCGUAAACGAUGAACACUAGGUGUCGGGGGAAUCGACCCCCUCGGUGUCGUAGCCAACGCGUUAAGUGUUCCGCCUGGGGAGUACGCACGCAAGUGUGAAACUCAAAGGAAUUGACGGA